GUCCCUGUAGCUCAGCGGUUAGAGCGCGUGGCUGUUAACCACGAGGUCCCCGGUUCAAAUCCGGGCGGGGACG
Molecule: transfer RNA, 73 nt
Filed under: Candidatus Woesearchaeota archaeon
Lineage: Archaea; Nanobdellati; Candidatus Woesearchaeota
Description: tRNA-Asn
Rfam family: tRNA
About the family: Transfer RNA (tRNA) molecules are approximately 80 nucleotides in length. Their secondary structure includes four short double-helical elements and three loops (D, anti-codon, and T loops).
Source: RNAcentral